GCCAGGUGUGGUGGCGGGCGCCUGUAAUCCCCGCUACUCGGAAGGCUGAUGCAGGACAAUCACUUGAACCUGGGAGACAGAGGUUGCAGUGAGCUGAGAUUGUGCCAUUUGCACUCCAGCCUGGACCACAGAGCAAGACUCCAUCUCAGGAAAAAAAAAAAAAAAAAGCCCAGGCUGGAGUGCAAUGGCGCGAUCUCGGCUCACCGCAACCUCUGCCUCCCACGUUCAAGUGGUUCUCCUGCCUCAG
RNAcentral lists this small RNA (247 nucleotides) under Macaca mulatta (Rhesus monkey). RNAcentral describes it as "Metazoan signal recognition particle RNA (ENSMMUG00000053812.1)". Lineage: Eukaryota; Metazoa; Chordata; Mammalia; Primates; Cercopithecidae. The record is from RNAcentral.